GGACUACUCGGGUUUCUAAUCCUGUUCGCUCCCCACGCUUUCGCGCCUCAGCGUCAGUAUCAUGCCAGGUGGCUGCCUUCGCCAUUGACGUUCCUUCCGAUCUCUACGCAUUUCACCGCUACACCGGAAAUUCCGCCACCCUCUCAUGUACUCUAGUCAGAUAGUUUGCGAUGCACUUCCCAGGUUAAGCCCGGGGCUUUCACACCACACACAUCUCACCGCCUACGCGCCCUUUACACCCAGUAACUCCGAUUAACGCUCGCACCCCCUGUAUUACCGCGGCGGCUGGCAC
This 292-nucleotide ribosomal RNA is filed under the name uncultured bacterium. Its description in RNAcentral is "partial 16S ribosomal RNA". The record is from RNAcentral. RNAcentral also lists the same sequence under 1 other name.